AAUCAUUGAUUGGCUGCCUCCUGCACAUCCCCCACUGGGGGGAUCAAGCCCACAACUCAGGCCUGUGCCCUUGGCCAGAAUUGAACCUGGGGCUUUUUAGUCCACAAGCGACACUGUAUCCACUAAGCAAAACUAGUUAGGGCUCUUUCUGUUUUUGUAGUAGGUUGUUUUCAGAGGUUUAUUCUUCUACUUGUAAUCUAGGGAAAUUUGUCCUUUCAGUUUUGUUUUUCCAUAGAUCCCAUGUUGCUAUCUUCCUGUUAACCUUUUCUUACACAAGGAAAAUGUGUCCAGUCCUAGGGUUUGCCAGCAGACUAACAGGUGAUUUGCUAAGGAAGUUCUUCCAGAAGUUGAUGAGAGUGUCGGAAAGAGAAAAAGUCAAGCCAAGUCUCAUCCUUUCUCUAGGAGAGAUGAGAACAGGAGUUAUUACAUCACAGAGCUGACCCCAUAAGCUAUAAGUUACCUUGAUAGCCAAAAUUGCCUAGGCACUCCCAGCUCUCUGCACCUGUGGAUCAAGCAGCUCCAGUCAUCCAAGGACAGACCCCUUGAAGCAAGAUGUGGGGAGAUCCAAGAUGACGGCAUACGUAAACAUCUAAACUGCUGCUGUGCACAACAAUUUCAAAACUAUCAAUAAAAGAUAAAACAUCUAUCAUCCAAAACCACGGGAAAGCUGGCUGAGUGGAAGUUCUAAAACUAGACAGAAGGGAAAAGAAAAAUCAGGACACAAGCACUGAAAAACUGAGGUAUGGGAGCAUGUGCAUGAUACAGUCUGGUGGUGGAUCCUGGCUGGCGGCGGGCAUUGCUUUCUUCAACCCGAAGAGAGACAAGCUCCCAAUCUCUCUGAAAUCCAGUUUCUGGGGAGAAGCUGAACUGUCUGCCAUCGGGUCAGAAAGUGAGAGUGGCUUGCUUGCAGAGCUGCGAGCAAAAAUAAUUGUUUGCUGUGCUGGGGUGCAGACACAGGGACAUGCAGUCGGAGAGGAAGAGAUGGCUGACUGGUAGCCUUUGUUGUUUGCCAUACGCUAGCCUAGU
Pipistrellus kuhlii (Kuhl's pipistrelle) is the source of this 1026-nucleotide long non-coding RNA. RefSeq lists it as uncharacterized. Lineage: Eukaryota; Metazoa; Chordata; Mammalia; Chiroptera; Vespertilionidae. The transcript has 3 exons. The record is from RefSeq and is a predicted model, not a curated record.